Molecule: unclassified non-coding RNA, 520 nt
Filed under: Hevea brasiliensis (rubber tree)
Lineage: Eukaryota; Viridiplantae; Streptophyta; Magnoliopsida; Malpighiales; Euphorbiaceae
Source: RNAcentral
GAGAGAGAGAGGGAGAGAGAGCAGCCGAGUAAACAAUGGGAGAGAAUCUAUUUUAGUACAGAUCCUCAGAUUUCUACAUCAACCUCUUUUAUUAACUUUGCCAAGAAUUUCAAGGUUGGACCCAACAAGUUAUCCUGGGAUGUACAUGGUAGGUCUUCAGACAAACUAACCAAACCAGUUCAUUCACACGCACCCACGGGCAGGCGCAAGAGAAAGUGAGGGAUCACAAAUUAACCAUCCAAGUUUCUGUAGCUUUUGAAAUGCAAUAAUAUUAAAGAAAAUCUAAACAUAAUUGAUCUAUGGUGUGAAUAACCUGACGUGCCAAUGCAAAAGACAUCAAGCAUGCUAGCUUAGAACAAAAAGAAUUUUAUGUUUGAAGCUCUAAAAAUAUCAAUGCAAAUUGCACACAAAAUACAAAUACAUUUGACAGUAAUAAGAUCUUAAACAGAUAAUGAACUAUACAUACAGAAGCAAGACUUGCAGUAUAGCAACAUACCAAGUAAAUCUUCAUAUGAAUCUG